This 11012-nucleotide long non-coding RNA is filed under the name Populus tremula. RNAcentral's name for it is "long non-coding RNA (PTRE_LNC003380)". Lineage: Eukaryota; Viridiplantae; Streptophyta; Magnoliopsida; Malpighiales; Salicaceae. The record is from RNAcentral.
ACUCAGAUCGACAGCAACACGUUCCUGUGCAGCUUCUUGAAUGUACUUAAUCAACAGAUCAAGCUCCUCCAUUCUCAUUGCCUUGAAAGAUGCAACUUUCAAGCUACUAAGCAACUCUACUGUGCACAUCUUACGCAUGCUACGCCAAUACGAACCGUAUUGUGCAAAAGCCAGGCCUUUUUGUCCAUAAGAGAUGUACCUUGCAGACUCGUGAGGUGGUCUGCCAGCAAAAACAAGGUCAUGGGUCUUGAGAAAUAACUCGGCAGCUUCAGGCGAAGAGACAACAAUGGCCGACACCAGGCCUAACCGCAAAUGCAUGAUGGGGCCAUAUCUUUGAGCAAGCUGAUGAAGAGCUCGAUGAGGAAACUUCCCUAACAAAUGAAGACUUCCAAAAAUUGGAAACCCUCUUGGACCAGGCGGUAGUCUCUUAUUCUCGGUGCUUAACCAUCGGAGCAGAAAGAUAAGUGCAACAAAGGCUAAAGAAGUCCAAAUCCAAGCCAUGGAUCUGUGAUUCUAUAACUUGCUGUUCUUGAAGUGUAUAAAAUCUCUGCCCUUUUAUUUACUUGGAUAUUGUGACUUGUAUAGGAAUCGAAGCCUGAAAGAAAAACAAACAGGAGAGGUAAGUUCGUUGUUGUUGCUUGUUUUGUGACUUGUACUUAAGAAUCGAUCGUGACAUACUAUAAAACACAAAAGCAUGAUUUGCUUAAUUCAAGUUAAUUGUCUCAUCACGGAUAUAUAUAUACUUAGAGUCAUUUUGAUAUUAUUUUCUAAGAAAAAAAUAUUUUAAAAAAUAAAUUUUAAAAUAAUAUUUGUUUUAAUUUUUAAAAUUUAUUUUUGAUAUGAGCAUAUUAAAAUAAUAUAUAAAUAUCAAAAAUUAAAAUAAUAUUCAUGAUUGUCCCUCACAAUAAAUAUACUUUCUGAAAAUCAAACUUGUAUUUUUAUCCUUAUAGAAAUAUAAUAGUACCUUAACCGCACCAUUUCUUUACGUGGAAAAGGAUGGGAUGCCCAGCGAACAAUAAAUAGGUUAGGUUGCAUCUCAUGCCUUUCAAAACACACCAUUUAGGAGAACAAAAGAGAGUGAUCCAAUGAAAUUACAUGAGGUAUUUGUGAGAGAAGCUCUGGAAUGUUUUUUUAUUAGAAGAGAAAUUAUAAUUUUUUUCUAUUAAUGAAACAUUAUUGUGAUUUUUAUUAUAUAGUAAUUUUUUCUCGUAAACAAAUUAAUAUAAUUUUUAGUAAACUACGUAAAUUCUUGAAUGUAUUAUUAUUUAUUUUCCUUGUUGUCUUGUGUCUAGAGUUGUGUAUUUUAUUUAAUUAGCAUGCCGGCAUUAAAGACUGAAAUUAUUUUAAUUAAAAAAACAGAAAAAAAAUUAUUUAAAUGACAUCAUCCGUAAUAAAAAGUUAUCCUUAGAUGCUCUCGGAGCUUCCAAAUCUUCAGGGGCAAGUUCGGAUUCUGCCAUUCCUCUCAGGGGUUCAGGCAGUGCGCAUAACGAUGCCAAGAUAUCUUGAAUGUACUACUUGCUGCACCAGCUUUUUGUGUGUAACUUCUCUAUCUGCAUUUCAACUUAGAACCUGUUAUUAAUUGGAAAAAAAAUUUAAAAAAAGGUAAUUAUUUUUAAUAUUUAGUAAUGUAAUGAAAAUAAAUUAAAAAAUAUUUUAAUGUUUGGGUUAUAUUAUGAAAAAUAAACCAGAAAAUAACGUAUUAAUAUUUUUUUAAGUUUCUUAAAAUAAUAAAGAACAAAUCUUAUAAAUUAAAAAGUUAAAUGAGAAUAAAAUUGAAAAAAAAUAUAAUUUCAUGAAUUAUCUCAGAUAAAAUAAAUAAUAAUCAAAAUAAUAGAAAUCAAAUCUAAAAAAUUAAAAAAUUAAAAGAUGAAGAAAUUAAAAUAGUAAUAAUUAACAUUUCAUAAAUUAUUUCAAAUAAAAUAAGUAACCAUAAAAAAUAAUUAUAAAAAUAAGAACCAAAAUUAAUAUAAAAAUUAAAUUAUAAGGGAUGAAAUUAAAAAAUAAAUAUUCAAAACAAUAUAUAUAUAGCAAUUAAAAUUUUGAGGAUCAAAUUUGAUAUAAUCAGCAAAUAAUAUAAUAUUUUUAAAUUUUUCAUAAUUUUCAGAAAAUAUUUUUCGUUCCAGAAUGCAUAUUUCCCCUUUCCUCGUUGUUUCUAAAAUUAUUUAAAUAACCAAUUUUAUAUGUACUAAUACUUGCACUCAAUUUGUCCUACUAAAUAUUAAUAUUAUAGCACUGUGAAGAGAUCUUUGAUUUUUAAUCUCUUUCGAUUUUAUAAACUCUGAUUUUUUACGUUUUGCUAAUCAAAACGUUCUCUUGAAGUUUUCACAUUCUCGCCUGUUACAACUUUCAAAACUCCAUUCUUAAUUUUAAUUCUAAAAAAAUUUAAUUUCUUUUUCAAAUUAAUUUUUUUAUAUAUUUAAAUUAUUUUAAUAGUUAAUAUUAAAAAAUAAAAAUAUAUCAUUUUAAUAUAUUCAUUUCUCAAUGUUUUAUGCAUAUAAUUUCCAGGAUAUUUUAUGUGUAUCUCGUUGAAACCUAGCCCACCUCAAUUAUGACGACUUCAAAAACUUUUGACAUGUUAAAGGAUAGUAAGGUCGUGGAGGUCCAGUAUUUGGCUACUGAUGUGUACUUGGCAAGUAUCAGCCACCAAAUGAUCUUUGCUAUGGAUGAGUGUCUGAUUUCCCACCACAUUUAAUUAAAUAAUUUUGUAGGACACGUGAUAUUUUCUAGAUAGCAUUGGUUGCCAAAGACUUGGCUACAAUUUCUCGGUUAUCAUCGAUGGUGAUAUCGUGGAACUGUAUAUUAUUUCCCACGAUAUCACCAUCACUUGAUGGAUGAUAAUCGAGAAAUUGUUUUUACAUAUUUUUUUCCUAAUCCAUUACCUAACCAUGAGAUAUUGUUGAUCCUUUCUUAACAGAAGUCCCCAGCAACGUACACUUCCCAUCAGACGAGCUGCAAAGGAAGAGCACAAACUGUAUCUAUUAGCACAUAUUCAUUGCUAUUUUCUAAGCUAUGAAAUGCUUCUCUUCUUCUUCUUCUUCUGAGAAACACAGAAAUUGCUUAACCCUUCAAGUAAGCUGUCCCCUGUUCUUGUUAAUAAUAGCAAUAAUUAUCUAUCUGCAUUAAGUUUAUAAGACAGCAAGGAAUAAUAGCGGGGUAGAUGUCCCCAAGAACAGCCCAUCAGACGAGCUACAAAGGAAGUUGUCAUUAGAGCAUGCAUUGUAUCUGUUCCCGAGAACAGUUGCCAUCAGACUUGCAACAAAAAUAUCAAUUUUGAAAAUUAGUACUGCCGUGUUUCCAACGCUCAUUCUUGUGUGGAAAUAUUUGCAAGUGAACCUUCAGUUCCAUAUUCUGCACCACAGGAAAAGUGAACAAUAUCUAUACGUGCAUCCAAGUUCUGAAGACUUGGAGGUCAAGGACAGACCAAAUGAAGAUUGGUUCUCCCUUGUUGAUGCUGAAAGAGAGAGACCUCUUAGGACGACCAAUCCCACAGUAUCUUGAGGGCAAGAACACUCAAACUCCAAUCUCCAUUGUUUGUCAGUUUUCUAGUAACUGUUCAAUAAAGCUGUUGCCAGAACGUGUUGACUGGUUUACAACUUGUGUUAGUGACUUAAGGGACCUCUCCUCGUGUGGAAAUAUUCGCUGAAAGGAUUUAUUGGUUGCUGUACAACUGCGGAUUGGACACAAGAAGGUGAAGACGACUUUUUGUUUAUCAAUUGUUUUUUAUUUCAAUUACGUAUACAUUAUCCAUAGUUUAAAUUAUUCUUGGUCUAGUUUCUUUGCUUUUUAAACCACAGCCAUUAUCAAGCUGUAAUUGAAGAUUGGAAAUUUCCAUGUCACCUUCUUGUCAUGUGAAUGUAAUUAGACUUUGUGUUAUCAUUUUUACCUAAAAUAGUUGAAAUGUACGACAUUGUCCCUGGAAUGCUUGUUUUUCUAAUAUGAUGAUCUCAUUGUCAAGAAAAAAUUCAUUCACAAUUGAAUAUUACAACUGAGAUGAUAUAUUUAUAUUUAUCAUUAAUUAAUAAUUAUAAGAAUUAAAUAAUAGAUUAAGUGAGCAAGUGAUCUUGAGAGACACACCGGGCUGCAUUACAUACGAGAGUCUCACCAUGAUGUAUGGAAUCUGUGACUGUUUCUAAUGCCAGAGAUAUGAUUGAUAAUAUGAUUGAAUCAGGAAAGGAGAUCAAAGUUUCCUCCGUAAUUGUCAUGCUUAACGUUUACUGUAUGAAUGGUUUGAUAAUAUAAAUUUUAGAAAAAUAAAUUAAUUUUUAAUGUUUGAUAAUGUAAUGAAAAAUAAGUUGAAAAAUAUUUUUCAGUGUUCGGUUAUAUUAUGAAAAAUGAGCUGAAAAAUAACUUAUCAAUAUUUUUUUUUAAGUUUAUUAAAAUAAGAAGGAACAAAUCUUACAAAUUAAAAAGUUAAAUGAGAAUAAAAUUGAAAAAAAUAUAAUUUCAUGAAUUAUCUUAAAUAAAAUAAAUAAUAACCAAAAUAAUAGAGAUUAAAUCUAAAAAUUAAAAAAAUUAAAAGAUGAAGAAAUUAAAAUAAUAAUAAUUAACAUUUUAUAAAUUAUUUCAAAUAAAAUAAGUAACAAUCAAAAGAAUGAAGACUAAAUUUGAUAAAUAAAAAAUUUCAAUUAAAAAAUGAUAAGGGAAAAACAAGUAACAAUUAUAAAAAUGAGGAUCAAAGUUAAUAUAAAAAUUAAAUUAUAAGGGAUGAAAUUGAAAAAUAAAUAUUCAAAACAAAAAAUAUAUAUAUAGCAAUUAAAAUUUUUAGGAUCAAAUUUGAUAUAAUCAGCAAAUAAUAUGAUAUUUCUAAAUUUUUCAUAACUUCCAGAAAGUGUUUUCCGCCAAAAAUAAAAGGAAAAUACUUUCCUGGAAACCAAGUCAAAUAUUUUUUUUUAGUAGAAAGUAUUUUCCAUUAACAAGAAAGCGUUUUUUAUUAAUCAAAUUUUCUAAUAGCAAAUAAAUACAGAAACAUUUAAAAAAUAAUUUCUUAAAAAAUACUGAAGGAAUAAUUUAAAAAAAAUUUCCUCCUUUUCAAAUAAUUUUGAACAUGCUCUAAAAUUCAUUAUGCUGAAGGAUUAUAUGCAUUUCAAAGUAUGUUUGGUACACUGCAAGCUAAUAUGCUUGCUAUUUGACCCAAAAUAGAGAAUUUUAGAAGUAGAAUUCCUUUAGCAUGCCGCAGACAUCUGCCACCAGCAAGGGCGGAACUAGGAUUAUUUUUUAGGGGGGGCCAAAAAAUAUAAUAUAUAUUUUUAAUUUAUUAUAUAUAAAAAGUAAAAAUAAAAUAAAAACUACUUGAUUUAGUUUUAUUUAAAGACGUAUUACAAAAUAUAUAAUAAUCUUUGUACCUAUUAAAUACAAACAUACAAAUAUAUAAGAAGCAUUAACUAAAAUGAAACAUUAUUUAUGUUUAAUAAACUUUGAAAUAAAAUAAUAAAUAAUAAUUCUUACAUAUUUAUUUUAAUUGUGCUCAUCGUUCUUUCAUCGAAUAGAAAUCAUCAAUUAUCAUAUCAAUUGGGAAUCUUUCAGCAAUUUUUUUUCUAUAUAGACAAUCAAAUAAUUUGCAAGAAAAUCAUCUUCCAUCCGAUUGCGAAGUCUUGUUUUAACAAUCUUCAUCGCUGAGAAAGCUCGUUCAGUAGUUGCUGUCGAAACAGGAAGAGUCAAGAUAAGCCGAAUCAACCUGUCAAUGAGUGGAUAAAUUGUUGUUUUUCUGUUUCAACCAAUCCUUGACAUAAAUCUGCAAUCGAUGACAUAUUCUUUAACUUUGGAUGAUUGGGUACAUCAAGCUCAUAAUGUUGCAACUGAAAUCUCAAAUGAAUUUUUUCUUGGUCAGAAAAAUCUUCAGGAUAGAACUUGUCAACAAGUAAGCAUAUAUCUUCAACAUUGAAUAAUUUAUAGCUAUUUCUAGGAUCUAAAGUUGUGCUCAAUUUAAGAAGCUCGAUCGCCUGCUCAUUGAAUCUGUUAUUUAGCUCUUGUAAUUUGAUCAAUGAUAGCUGUAAAUAUAUCAACUCGGUAUGAUGCUCAACUGUUACUGAUUUUGUUUUACGACGAGAUCGUCCCACACUAGAAAAACAAGCAUCCAUAUCAGGAAUUUCAAUGUCUUGAUGCUUACAAAAUGAUGUCACUUCUUCUAAAAGAGUUUCCCAACUAUCAUCUCUUAACUUAUGAAUUAAAGUCUUUGUGCUAGUCACCAAAUGCAUAGCAUUUAAAAUGUCUUAAGAUUUUUGUUGUAAGGCUUGACAAAGCAUAUCAGUAAUUUCCAUAACAUUCUUCAUUAUAUGUAAGAAGAAUGCAAAAUCAAAUGACAUUAGCAACUUAAAUGAAAAGACUGCUUCACCACGUUGAGAAUAAGUAGAUCCAUCUAAAGCAAUGUUUUCAAGAACCAAGCAAGUUGCCCCAUACAUUUUUAUCAAACUGCAAAUUGAUUUGAAAUGCGAACUCCAUCUGCUAUCUCCAGGUCGUUGCAAACCACCUACUUGAUUAACUCCUUUACCCGUUUCAAUCUCACCAAUAUCAACUAGAUGCUCAAUUGUAGCUGCUUGAAAAGCCCGUAACUCAUCAUUACGCUUGCAAGAAGCACUAACAAUGUUAAUAAUAAAGAUCAAAUUCUGAAAGAAAGUGUGAACAUCAGAUAUUUCUCUAGCUGCAGCAAUAAGAGCCAAUUGUAACUGAUGAGCUAAGCAAUGUACAUAAUAUGCAUAAGGGCAAUCAUUAAUGAAUAAAGCUUGCAAACCAUUCCACUCUCCACGCAUAUUACUGGCACCAUCAUAUCCUUGACCCCUAAUAUUUUGAACAUCAAGAUUAUGAUGAGAUAAAACAAAGGAAAUCUCUUCCUUAAGAGUUGCAGCAUUGUAUCUUUGACAUGAACUAUAUCCAAAAAUCGUUCUCGUAUAAAUCCACUUCUAUCAACAAACCUAAUAACAAGGGCCAUUUGCUCUCUUCUAGAUUCAUCUCGAGCUUCAUCAACAAUUAAACAAAAUCUUGCAUCACCAAUCUCAUGACGAAUUGAAGACUGAACAUUUCUAGCAAAGACAUGCAAAAUUUCUUUUUGAAUUUGAUGUGAGGUGUAUUUAGCAUUUUGUGGAGCAUUACCCAAAACAAGAGCACCUACUUGUUCAUUGUAUGAUGCUAAAAGUUCCAUCAUUUCAAGAAAAUUACCUCGGUUUUUUUAUUCUGGACGUUCAUCAUGCCUCUAAAAGCACAUGCUUGAAAUGUGAGCCAACGAACAAUAUCUAUUGAAGCUUUAAUACGCAAUCGAUUAUUCUGAACUUCUUGAGUAGUUUGCCUCUUAACUACCUUCUCAAUAUGACAUGACUGAUUUUUCAAAUUUUCCAAGCACCUGGUAGCAAAUCUAUGAGCUGAAUUUGGACCUUUUCCCAUAUGAGUCAAAAAAGCACAUCGUUCCCCAUCAUUAACUUUCUUCCAACAAUUAAAUCCUUUAACAGUAAAUGUGUCUGAUCCUGGCUUUCCAGAUGGUUUACUUGAAAAUAAAUAGCAAGGGAAACAAAAUGCAGUAUUUUUCUCUGAAUAUUCAAGCCACGGAUAACUUUUGAACCAAUGAGACUGAAAUCGACGAGGAUGUUUAUUACCAGUUAGCGGAUAUUCAGACAUCAAAGGUUGAUAUGGCCCCAAAUUAAUGUAUGCCCUUCGAAUUUCAUCUUGUUGAUUAACCGGGUAUUCCAAAUUUGAGGACGAUUGCUUGGAUCUCUAAUUAAAUGAGCAAUAUCGAUUCUAGUAAGAGGCUGCUCACUAAUCAGCGCAGGUUCUUUGUAAACUGAAGCACAUAGAGGCUGCUCAACCAUAACUUCAACAUUACUUGGAGUUGGUUCACUAAGCUGUGAGUUAUCAAUAUUUUUCUUUUCUUUUUUUCAAAAAAAGAAUCAAUUCUUCAUAUUUUGUUCAUGAUUCAACCUAAAAUCAAAACAUAUAUAGUGAGAAAAAAUUGAUAAUUUUGGUGGCUCUGCUAAAAACAAAACAUAAAAAAAAUCCAUGUAUAAUCAAAACAAACCAAUAAAAUAUAUCUAAUUAAUUAGAAAAAAAAUCACUAUAACAAGAAUUCAAAAAACCAAUUAUUAGAACUAGCAAAUUUGAAAAAAAAAGCAAAAAUUAUAAAAACAAAUCUUAUUAAAUUCUUAAUAAACAUCUCAAAACAAAAUAAAAAUAUAUUUUAAAUUUGAGUUAUCGAUAUCCAAUUACGUACCUUGUUUUGUUUACUAAGAGAUAAAUCAAACAAUACUCUGUUUCAAUCUUUCCGCAUAAAAAUUUGUUUAGAAUCUUUAUUCUUGUUUUUGUUUUGAGUGGCUGCGUUGGAAUUACAACAAUUUAUAUUAGGGUUAUAUUGUAGCAUAGGGAGGGAAAAGACAAAAAACACAUUCACCCUUUAUAUUUAUUUUUCAUUCCCUGGAGGCUGGAGACACAUAUUGCUUUCCACGUAGGUUUUUAUCACAGUCCAUUAAUCACAGCCCAUUCUUUUCAGCCCUAAAAAAAAAAAAAAAAAAGUCUUGCAGGGGCCCGGGCCCUGCUUGCCCCCCUUCACUCCGCAGGACGCUAAAUUAUUUCAUCGUGUAACUUGACGUGAUAAAGGCAAGCCCUCCUGAGAUCCUUGAUGUAACUUUCUCUGCUUCUUUCUCACUUUAACAUGUGAGGUAGCUAGGAUUAUACUGGUCCUUCGAUAUCUACUCGAUCAUUGUGGGGAAACCUUGAACAUGGGGACUGUCUUUCCACAAUUGACAAGAGAGUAAUGUUUUUAUUUGGAUGGAUUUUGUAUGGAUUUUCUCCCAUUAUGUCUUUAGUAUUUUCUGUUUUGUUUUGUUGAGGAAUGUUUAGUUUCAGCUCAUUUGGAUGGAUUUUGUAUGGUUUUCUUUGCUUUGAUUUAUCUUAAGUUGCGUUUUAUCCUUCAUAUGACUUUAUGCCAUAUUAAGAUAUUGUGUAGCUUUUGUUCUAUUCCCGUCAGACUUUGACGCUUAUAUAAUAUACACAUCUUUCAAAAAAAAAAGAGUAAUAUUUUUAUUUUUUGGUGCAAGAAAAGAUAGUACUGUACAAGCUUUUGGAUAUCAAUUUGGUUUGAACUUGAGCUUGGUUAAACUCGUGUCUAAGAUUUUACUAGUUGUAAGCUUUAAAAAUUAACUUAACUUCAUAAAAUUUGUUAAAAUUGUUUUAGUUUUUUAUCAUUUUUUUAAAAUAAUAUUUUUUUAAUUUCAUCAUUCAAAAUUUAUUUAAUAAAAUAUUAAACUCUUCUGUUUUUUAUGACCUUGGUUCUGGAGGCCAUAGUCACACCUAGUUGAGAAACAGCUAGAUUUGCUUCUGAUUUAUUAUUGCAUAAUCAUGCUGUGUCUAUGAAUCGCUAGUGCUAUGUAUAAACAAAGUCAUCAACUCUAACGGUGCUUUUAUAUGUAUUCUUCUUCCAUCGGUCGGACAGAGAAUAGCUUAUCUAGUUUUCCAAAAGAAAUGGCAUAUACCUCAUUUAUUUGCUCUUAAAAAGAUGGUAAAAUCCUUUAAAGAGUGUGAUGAACAAGAAAGCACACAGAAUCCCUGAAGGAGCACUUAAUGAGGGAACAUUAUUUUGAUCUAAAACAAGACACUGAUACAUUUAGCUUCAUUUGUUAAGGCGAUAUGUAGGAAUAGCUACCAGAUGCUUGGACCUGCAGAGUGCGAGACCAAACUCUUCUGUCAUGUCCACUUCAGAUGGCAAUAUUCCAUUCGGAAGUUCCCAAUCAAAGCAAUGGAGCAGCUGCGCAACCACCAGCCGCACCACAGUUAGCCCCAGUUGCAUUCCAGGGCAGCUUCUGCGGCCAGUGCCAAAUGGAAAUAGCUGGAGUCUCGGCCCCGAACAUCUAUGUCACUGCCAACAAACCUCUCCGGGUAAACUUUUCUGCAUCGGUCCAGCUUUUGGGUCUCGACCAAUGGCCCAUGCAUUGAUUAUAAACAAGUGAUUUCUUUGGUAUGUGGAAGCCAUUCACAACGCAGUCCUCCGUGGCCUCAUGAGGGAUCAUCAGAGGACCCGCUGGAUGGAGCCGCAAGGUUUCCUUCACAACCAUGUCUAGGUACUCCAACCUCUCCAAGUCUGAUUCCUCCACCAUCCUUUGCUUUCCCACUACUUCUUCUAGUUCUUUUUGCAGUUUCUUCAUAACCCGUGGAUUUUUUAUCAGUUCUGAGAAUGCCCAGUCAAUCACAGUUGCUGAAGUGUCCACUGAACCCACAAGCAUGUCCUGCAAAAUGUCAUGUGCAGGAGCAUAAAGCUACCAUUAUUGUGCAGUUAAUUUCAUCAAGAUUAAAAGAUAAAAUGCUCACUUACCACCAUUAUGGCUUUCAUACAGCCUUGAUCAACGAGGUACUCGUUUUCUUCGGAUUUCAUGAAACUUAGCAUGACGUCAACAAAGUCCUUGUUUUUGCCCUUCUCCUGGUAGUGUACAUGCUCGUCAAUAAUCUUGUCAAGAAAGACAUCUAACACUUUGGAAAUAGCCUUCAUGCGUUUUGUCAGUCCCUGGAGAUCAAGAGCUGCGAUUUGAGGAAUGUAAUCUCCCAAGUGUGGAGCUCCUGAUAAAUGCAUGACCUCUUGCAUCACAGAUUGAAUCCCCUCUCAUCAAGAUCCUCAUCUAAAUAUUUCUUCCCAAACACCAUUCUACAGCUCAUGUCAGCACUGAGGGACGAAACCUUGGCACUCAGAUCGACAGCAACACGUUCCUGUGCAGCUUCUUGAAUGUACUUAAUCAACAGAUCAAGCUCCUCCAUUCUCAUUGCCUUGAAAGAUGUAACUUUCAAGCUACUAAGCAACUCCACUGUGCACAUCUUACGCAUGCUGCGCCAAUACGAACCGUAUUGUGCAAAAGCCAUGCCUUUUUCCAUAAGAGAUGUACCUUGCAGACUCGCGAGGUGGUCUGCCAGCAAAAACAAGGUCAUGGGUCUUAAGAAAUAACUCGGCAGCUUCAGGCGAAGAGACAACAAUGGUCGACCCAGGCCUAGCCGCAAAUGCAUGAUGGGGCCAUAUCUUUGAGCAAGCUGAUGAAGAGCUCGAUGAG